GCCGGAAUAGCUCAGUUGGUAGAGCAGAGGACUGAAAAUCCUCGUGUCACCAGUUUAA
Molecule: transfer RNA, 58 nt
Filed under: Heteroscyphus succulentus
Lineage: Eukaryota; Viridiplantae; Streptophyta; Jungermanniopsida; Jungermanniales; Lophocoleaceae
Description: partial tRNA-Phe
Rfam family: tRNA
About the family: Transfer RNA (tRNA) molecules are approximately 80 nucleotides in length. Their secondary structure includes four short double-helical elements and three loops (D, anti-codon, and T loops).
Source: RNAcentral